RNAcentral lists this long non-coding RNA (9263 nucleotides) under Ananas comosus (pineapple). RNAcentral describes it as "long non-coding RNA (ACOM_LNC039155)". The record is from RNAcentral. Lineage: Eukaryota; Viridiplantae; Streptophyta; Magnoliopsida; Poales; Bromeliaceae.
UUCAGUUCACGGUAAUCAACACACAGUCGAAGCGUUCCGUCUUUUUUCUUUACAAACAAAACAGGAGCUCCCCAGGGUGAUACACUAGGCUUACAAAGCCUUUAUCCAUCAAUCCUGGUGCAACUGAGCUUUCAGUUCUCUCAACUCAGCUGGUGCCAUUCUGUAUGGAGCCUUCGAAAUUGGCGCCGUUCGGGAACCAAGUCAAUAACGAACUCAAUUUUCCGAUCCGCGGUAAUCCCGGCAGCUCCGCAGGAAAUACAUCAGGAAACUCUCGAACCACUGGAAUAUCUCCAAGUGCUGGAAGUUCCUUCUGGUCUCCACCACUGUUGCCAAAUAGGCUACACAUCCUCUACUAAUCAACUCUUUCUCGCCCUCGUAGUCGAUACAGUUAGUGCAAAGAGCGAACUCUUGCACCUCGAUAUACAACCUCCUUCUGCUCAGGUUCACGAAAAGUAAUAAUUUACUUUCGCAAUCAAUUGUGGCAUAGUACUUUUGUAAGCCAAUCCAUCCCAAGAUUAUAUCAAACCUUUCAUUAGCUUCAACACUAACAAAUCAGCUGGCAUAAUCCAAUCUCCAAUCUGUACUGGACACGCCGCACAUUCUCGUGAACACUAAACGUCGUGCUCAGGAGCAUAGACCCACCAGGCAUCUGGUCUAUCCGAAAUCUCAAAAUCAUGUGUUCUAGCAAAUGAACUACUAAUAAAGGAAUGAGAUGCACCGGUAUCAAACAAUGUGCGAGAUCUAAUGCCAUAAAGUAAAGUAAUACCUGCCACGACAUCGGUCGACCACGGCAGGAUCCUCAGCCUGAGCUGCAAAUACUCGUCCACUCUUGUGCAGGGUCGAGACGCCUCAGUCCUGGUACUCGUGCAGGUCGGGGUGGCUCAUACUGACGCGACGCAAAAGAACGUCCAGCUGACAUCAUACGGUGAGGGACCGCACGCUGCCUCGCAGAGACUGAGCGAUGCUGUAGACUGCGGCGGAUGAUGCUCCUUUCGGGCAAUCACGAAACCAUAUGUCCCGGCUGUCCACACUUAAAACAUUUACCAUCCCGCUGUGCACAAGUCGUCACUCGAUGGUUCCCGCCACAAAUGACACACCUCAGGGGUCCCCUGAUACCUCUGCUUUGGCCGUGGAUACCGAGGGGCGUUUGGAGUUCGACUGUCCCUGGCACCACUAGUAUUCCUUUUCUUUCCUUUCUCCUUCUCGCUCUCGAUCAAACAACUCGCGUUCCUCACGGCAAUCGCAUUGCUGCGCUCACCAAAAGAGCUCGAUCCAGGACUCCUCAAAUGACUUUAACUUUAGAGCACUAAUGAUCCUGAAUAUCUCAGGCCGUAAUCCCGCUCAAAGUAGUCAGCUCUAUCUCGAUCUGUAUGCACCAUUCCGGGUACACAGUUUACUAAAUGUGUAAAUCCGCUCGUAUUCCCGUACCGAACGGUUUCCUGUCUUAACUUUCGAAAGUCUUCUUUCAUUUUCCUUCUGUCACUAUCAGGGAAGUACUCUGCAAACAGGAUCUCUCUGAACUCAUCCAGAAAGCAAGGAGGGAUUUAGAACUCGGCUUUUCUUCGCUCUUUUGCCACCAAAAUUUGCGCAUCCUUCUCAAAGCAAUGUGCCAGCUAAAUGAACCUGUCAUUUUCCAAUGUAUAGUAUCCUCCAAACAGAGCUUCCAUCCUGUGAACCAGGUCUCCAACACCCAAGGAUCAGCCUCCUUUCCAUCCAAACAUUGGCGCGAUUAAACGCAAGAACGCCGGUCAACACUGAUAAGGAUCGCUCGUGCUCGGCCCUCACGCCGGCCGAAUCAGAACUAGAAGGCCCUAAGACCACUGGGUGGAACCAUCACUGGAGGAGGGGCACUAUCACUGGCGGAUCAGGUAUAGGCGCAUCCUGACUCCAGAGCGCAGUUGUCGCCUGUUGCGACACUAGGUCCUGUAAUCUCUUAAUGUUCUCCUCCUGCCUCUGCAUCGAUCCAACCAACGCGCUCACCUGAAGCGGCAGCUCCUGAACCUCGCUAGAUCCCUCCUGAUCUGGCACCCCAGGAGGUGAUGCCGGAGCGGUCUCGUCGCACGCCGUGGCGGCAUUUCUCCUGAAACGAACUAUUCACAUAGUAAACAAAACCAAAUCAGGCGAAAGCAAUCAAGUGUAUUUAUACUCAACCCUUAGCUUUAUGUUGUUGGCCACCCAACAUAACUCUUUUAGUUGUGUAUAAACAACACUUGGAUCAGCCCCUAAUUCACAUUAGAGACUUACGAACAACGAACCCAAUUCAUUCAGCUUUCGCUAUCAUUAGAUUUCACGCACUCGCGGUCCUAGUUCCUAGUUUCCAUUCCUAAGUCCCUAGGUCACUCUAGAUUUUUUCUUUUUUUUUUUUUACUGUCACUUGCUCUGAUACCACUUAUCUGUCACGUCCCGCUAUCGCCAAUUUGGUCGAUCCGGGCCCGUACACAGACGCCGAACGAACAGCACCUCCCCUGUUCGUCCAAGGCUAAACCACAACGAGUACAUGUAUAAAGAAAUAAACAAUUCCCAGGAUCACAUUUCAAUAUACAUGGCUUGCUCGAAGGCAAGCAACAAACACAAGUGAUAGUAAAGUAACUGAACAAUGAAAUUCACUGUAAUUUAAAACUUUACAUAACUGAAAUAUUUAGUUAUUUACAUGUUGUAUAUACAUCAAAAUGGUAACCACUAAACUCUGGUGUCGGCUAACUAAGCUGCAGGGCCCUUGCCACGAUCCUCGGCAACAGCACUCGUACUGGAACCUGUAAGGUUAGUGGUGUGAGAACUACGAGAAAGUUCCCAGUGGGUUCGGCCGCCGACCUCGCCGACUCACCCACUAGGUCUAAUCAGGCAUAUGUAGGCAAAGAAAGUAAAGCAGAUAGUAACCAACUAGAUAUGUAACUACUACAAUGCCUGUACAAAGCUGAAAGAAAGCAAUAUAUAUGAAAACUGUAAAUAUGCAUGCAUGCUUUUCAUUAACUUUACCCAAUCUUUUGGUUAACCCUUUGGUUAACAAUUACUCACUGACACUAUCCCAAAUAUCGGGGAGACGCAACCUGCACCCGACGGGACUGUCAACUGGGGGAGACGCAACCUCCUGGUCCAGUACAGAUGACUACUCCGGAGCUCAUCGUUCAAGGAGGAGCGACCUCACUUGAACCAAACGAUUGUGAGUAUGAUCUGAUCCCCCUUUAGAGGAUUCAACUGACAAACACUGUCACACUUUACUCUAACUAGCUCUAUAUGCUAGUUUCACAAUUCAUAUCUCAAUACUAACCAAAUCUCUAGUCAUAUGUCACCAGGUUCACUAUUGUCAUAGUCCAAUGCAUUCAUAGGGUUAGAUAUUCACAUUCUAUGUUCAUACAUUUACAAGGUUGAUACACAAUUGCAUAAUCAAUAUUCUUUACAUACUCUCAAUGCCCUAUAAUGCAUGAAUUCAUUGUAAGUAGACAAUUAUGCUCAAUGAAAUAUUUUAGACAUAAAAAGUGAUUCAGAGAUUUCGGAUAGCACCACCCACCUGUAGUGGUGUAAACAACUAGAAUCCACGUCUCGAAACGUGUCGACAAUUAGCUCUCGCGACUCGGUGUAAAUAGAACUAGAACGGUCUUUACCGUAAUUAGCGCGUCGCCGACCUGUCGGAAUGUCACUUUAGACUUUCGAGCAUAUUUAACUUUCAUUUGUAAAGAUUUAAAAGAGGUUAAACUAGAGUUACAUUCACAUUUUAACAAAACUUGCAUUUCAACUUCAAUCUGCUUAUGUGUUAAGGCACAUGUAAAUUAGCAUACAUGUGUACAUGUAAUUGCUAAUACUUCGGCCAAUCAGUAACUCCAUUGAUCCAACUUUUAAUAAAGUAGUCAUUUCACUUCUAUAAAUUAGAUGCUCCACUAGCUUCUUCUCAGCUUACUAAUAAUUAGAACCCAAUGUUGAAAUUUAAUUUACUUAACCUUCCUAUGAUAUAAUUAAACUACUCCAUUUAGAAUUUUUGGAAGCAUCAUGGUUCAAGUUUUAUUCUUAAUCACAUAAACCAGGAAUUGAGUUCAUUUUACCUCAAUUUCUGAGCUCCUCUAGCUCAAUUAACUAGCAGCUAUCAACAUCAAGAAUCUUCAAUGCUGAAUUUCAGCAUUGGAGCUUCACAGUUUUCCGAAUAGAUUGGAUGCUGUUUCAGUUUGAGUUACUUAAAAUCAGUCUCACUUAACCCCUAACUCACACAUUAACUAAGCUAUAUAUAGUUUGCCAUUGAUCCUGGUAAUUCUACAAACUGAAUUGACUAUAGCUUAACUUCCUUAUGUAAUGGCUAGCAUCAAUUCCAUUUAGGAUUUUCUGUUGUUCAUAUUGCAGGUAAAGAGAUCCUGGUUCUCUUAGAUAGGAAUAUCAGCUUAUUCCUAAGUGUAUUGUCACUAAUACAUAGUUCUUAAUUAUCAACCUACAAGGCUGAUUUUGGGUUACCAUCAGCUCAAUAAUCAUGCCUCACCCAAAUUAGCCUCUUAAUAGGAUAACUAAUUGAUUCAUAAUCAGAAUUUGAGCAAUUUCUUUACCUUGAAGCAGCAAUUUCAACAAUACUUCUCAAUUCCUCUCUUCACUGAGGUUUGGUUCAGCUCUAGCAGCAGAAACAAGGUUCUUUAGCUGCUCUCUUUGCUCUAAUAGCCCCAACAUCAGUCAACAACUCAAUUAUUAGCUUGGUUUACAAUUUUGAAUCUUACUUAAACCAGGGAGGAAUAUUAUUCUUACCAGAAACUGAACCCAAAUCCUUUUCUCUGCUGAUUUCUUGUUUAAACACUCAAUCCGACCAUACUUCUCAAAUCUGUUAACUCAAACAGCAGGAACUCUUAAUUUGAUCCCUUCUAAGGCAACAAAUUUGAUUGUAAUUCACUAUAGAAUGGACUUACUUUAAUUUGAUGCUAAAUUGGCCUGCUCACUGCAUCAAAUAGUCCACCCUUGCAUUUCGGCAGCACCAAGAACACACCAACUUGAUUUCAGCUCCCAAAUCUGAAAUUUCAGCAUUCUAAUACUAUAAACUUAAUCCCUUUGUAGUUGUAAUUAAUUCUCAGCUGAGGGGCAAGUUGCUUACCUUAAUUAAGUGUUACGCCAGGUUACUUCAACUCCAAUAGCAUCCUCUCUCAGCUCGGCCACUCCACCAAGCCGAAGACACCAAGUCGGCCAAUCCUAAUCAGCUCUCAAGUCCUGACAGCAAGAGUUCUUCCUUUAACUCUUCUCUAAGUAGCUAGCUUCAAUAUAAAUCAGGUAAGGAUUUAACUUACUUUAAUUUUUGAAGCUUCUCCAAUUAACUCCCUGCUUGAAUCAGGUCUCACAACCUCAGCCUACAAAUCCCCAAGCUGCCCACAUCAAACUCCUCGACUCUUUCUUAGUCUAGAGAGAGAAGGAGAAGGAAAAUGGAUGAAAGAAAAGAAGGGAAAUAGAAUUUCUGCACUUUGGACAGGUGUAUUCCACCAGGGGUGAACUGAUAAGGCUGGAAAAUGCAGCUUAGCCCCUGGAAUUUGCAAAAAUGCAUUGCAACCUGCAGAUUUACAUUUCAGUCCCUGCAGUCUCGCAAUUCAGUCCCUGCUGGCAGCAGCAGCAGCAGAUGAUCUAAUCCCUUGUUUCUCAUAUUUAAUUCACUUCGAUUUCAUUCGAACACAUCCAAAAUCAUCCAAGGAAGCUUCCCAAGCUAUCAAAUUAAUUUGGGAGCAAUUAAUUCCCAAUUUGGCAUCAAUUUGAUCAUUUUUUGACCCAAUCGACUAAAAUUUCAGCUUUCAAGUAGCAAUGGCAAUUGGGUGUCUUUAGCCACUCCAAUUCCAUUCUUAUCUAUUCCCACAUCUCCAACACCUUUCACUUGAUGUUCCCAAGCUACUAGUCAAGUUUAGAAGCCUUUAACUUCCAUUUUAGCAUUAUUGUGACCAAUUUUAUCACAAUUGGCCUAAGCUGAAUUUUCAGCCUAUUACAAUCUCCCCUCCUUUAAUAGUUUCGUCCUCGAAACUUAAAUACAUACCUCAAGUUUCCUGGUUGAAUAGAUGGGGAUAGGAUGCACGCAUAGCCUCCUCCAAUUCCCACGUUGCCUCUCGUCCUGAAUGAUUGCUCCAUUGCACUUUCACAUAGGGAAUAGUGCGAUUUCGCAAUUCCUUCACUUCGCGAUCCAAAAUACAUAUUGGGUAUUCUUCAUAAGUCAUAUUCUCCUGCAAAUCCACUGGUUCGAACUCUAGAACAUGCCCUGAAUGAUGCACAUAUUUUCGGAGAUUCGAAACAUGAAAUACAUUGUGUAUUCCUUCAAACUUCGGCGGUAAAGCCAAUCGAUAAGCUACUGCUCCCACUCGCUCUAGAAUCUCGUAAGGUCCAAUGUAUCGAGGACUAAGCUUCCCUCGAACACCAAAUCUCUUUAUCCCGCGCAUUGGCGAUACUUUCAAGAACACCUUAUCGCCAACCGCAAACUCCAAGUUCUUUCGGCGCUUAUUGGCAUAACUUUGUUGCCGUGACUGGGCCGUCAACAAUCUCUGGCGGACUAGGCGUACCUUUUCCUCCGCCUCUUGGAGUACAUCAGGACCAAGAACCAUUCUUUCUCCUACUUCACUCCAAUGGAUAGGGGAUCGACACUUUCUCCCGUAGAGAGCUUCAAACGGUGCCAUUGCGAUGCUUUCCUGAUAACUAUUAUUAUAUGCAAACUCAGCCAUUGCUAAGGAAUCAUGCCAACUCCCUCUGAAGUCAAGUACACACGCACGUAGCAUGUCCUCCAAAAUCUGAAUCGUUCUCUCAGACUGUCCAUCGGUCUGAGGAUGAAAAGCUGUACUAAAAUCAAGACGUGUGCCAAGAGCAUCCUGUAAACUCCUCCAGAAGUGGGAUGUAAACCGCGGGUCUCGAUCAGAUACAAUCGACGUCGGGACUCCGUGUAAUCUCACAAUCUCGUCGAGGUACACCUGUGCCAACUUGUCCCCUGACCAAGUAACAUGAAUCGGCAAGAAAUGCGCCGAUUUCGUCAAUCGAUCAACAAUCACCCAAAUGGUAUCAUGUCCAGCCUGUGAUCGAGGUAAUCCAACAACGAAGUCCAUCGCAAUGUUCUCCCACUUCCAAACUGGAAUAGGCAAGCUCUGUAACUUUCCUGCGGGAAAUCUGCGCUCAGCUUUAACUUGCUGACAAGUCAAACACUGCGCUACAAACUGCCCAACAUCCUUCUUCAUUCCAGGCCACCAAUAAUGCACUUUAAGAUCUUUGUACAUCUUAGUGCCACCUGGAUGUACACUAUAAGGUGACUGAUGAGCUUCCUGUAGCAUAGCCCUCUGAACCUCCUCGUCUUUAGGUACGCACAACCGGUUACGAAACCGAAGUGCACCGUCAGAUCCCACUGUAAAAUCAUCCCCUCGCCCGUUCUCAGCUUCACACCGUACUUUUUGGAGAUACGGAUCUAAAGACUGCCGAUCUUUAAUCUGUUCCAACAAAGUCGGUUGAACAACUAGGGCGGCAAGAAUAGCCGGUACAUCUGGAGCUACUACCUCAAGAUCAAACUGCCGCAUUUCAUUCUGCAACGACGGUUGAUGCGUGAUCAUCAUAGCCAGGUUCUCCACUGACUUCCUACUCAAUGCAUCCGCGACCACAUUCGCCUUUCCUGGGUGGUAUAGAAUAUUAACGUCAUAAUCUUUCAACAAUUCUAACCACCGGCGUUGUCGCAUAUUCAGCUCUUUCUGGGUGAAUAAAUACUUCAGGCUCUUGUGGUCAGUAUAAAUCUCACAAUGCUCGCCAUAAAGAUAAUGUCUCCACAACUUCAGUGCGAAGAUCACCGCCGCCAGUUCCAAAUCAUGAAUAGGAUAAUUCUUUUCAUAGUUCUUCAGCUGGCGAGACGCAUAAGCAAUCACUCGACCACCCUGCAUAAGCACACACCCAAGCCCACUGUAGGAAGCGUCGCUAUAAACCACAUAACUCUCCCCUGAAACCGGCAAUGCAAGAAUAGGCGCCGAAGUCAACCUUUCUUUUAAGUCCCGAAAGCUUCGAUCACAUUCUUCACUCCAAACAUACUUAACUCCUUUAUGUGUCAGGCGCGUUAGUGGAGUAGUAAUCUUCGCGAAUCCCUCCACGAACCGCCUAUAGUACCCUGCUAAUCCAAGGAAACUGCGGAUCUCCACAACUGUCGUAGGGCGAGGCCAAUCUUUAAUUGCCUCCACUUUCUUUGGGUCGACAGAAACACCACCCUCAGAAAUCACGUGCCCUAGAAAUGCCACCUCUCGUAGCCAGAAUUCACAUUUCUUCAAUUUCGCAUACAGCUGAUGCUCCCGCAGAAUCUGCAUCACUGUUCUCAAGUGUUUCUCGUGCUCUUCAUUGCUUCGGGAAAAGAUUAGAAUAUCAUCUAUGAACACCACUACACACUGAUCCAACAACGGCUUAAAAACCCUGUUCAUCAGAUCCAUGAACGCUGCCGGGGCGUUGGUAAGCCCAAACGGCAUCACUGUGAACUCGUAAUGCCCAUAACGAGUGCGAAACGCUGUCUUAUGCACAUCCUCUGGUUUGAUCUUCAAUUGGUGGUAACCCGAUUGAAGAUCAAUCUUCGAAUACACCCGUGAACCUUGCAACUGAUCAAAUAAGUCAUCGAUUCGCGGCAACGGAUAUUUAUUCUUGAUCGUGACCUUGUUCAGUUCACGGUAAUCGACACACAGUCGAAGCGUUCCGUCUUUCUUCUUCACAAACAAAACAGGAGCUCCCCAGGGUGAUACACUAGGCUUCACAAAGCCUUUAUCCAUCAAAUCCUGCAACUGAGCUUUCAGUUCUCUCAACUCAGCUGGUGCCAUUCUGUACGGAGCCUUCGAAAUUGGCGCCGUUCCGGAAACCAAGUCAAUAACGAACUCAAUUUCCCGAUCCGGCGGCAAUCCCGGCAGCUCCGCAGGAAAUACAUCAGGAAACUCUCGAACCACUGGAAUAUCUCCAAGCGCUGGAAGUUCCUUCUGAGUCUCCACCACUGUUGCCAAAUAGGCUACACAUCCUCUACUAAUCAACUUUCUCGCCCUCGUAGUCGAUACAGUUAGUGCAAAGAGCGAACUCUUGCAUCCUCGAUAUACAACCUCCUUCUGCUCAGGUUCACGAAAAGUAAUAAUUUUACUUUCGCAAUCAAUUGUGGCAUAGUACUUUGUAAGCCAAUCCAUCCCAAGGAUUAUAUCAAAACCUUUCAUUAGCUUCAACACUAACAAAUCAGCUGGCAUAAUCCAAUCUCCAAUCUGUACUGGACACGCCGCACAUUCCUCGUGAACACUAAACGUGUGCUCAGGAGCAUAGACCCACCAGGCAUCUGGUCUAUCCGA